RNAcentral lists this ribosomal RNA (468 nucleotides) under uncultured bacterium. RNAcentral describes it as "partial 16S ribosomal RNA". It matches the Rfam family "Bacterial small subunit ribosomal RNA", at positions 28 to 508 of the family's 1533-position model. The record is from RNAcentral.
GACGAACGCUGGCGGCGUGCUUAACACAUGCAAGUCGAACGGAAAGGCCCUGCUUUUGUGGGGUGCUCGAGUGGCGAACGGGUGAGUAACACGUGAGUAACCUGCCCUUGACUUUGGGAUAACUUCAGGAAACUGGGGCUAAUACCGGAUAGGAGCUCCUGCUGCAUGGUGGGGGUUGGAAAGUUUCGGCGGUUGGGGAUGGACUCGCGGCUUAUCAGCUUGUUGGUGGGGUAGUGGCUUACCAAGGCUUUGACGGGUAGCCGGCCUGAGAGGGUGACCGGCCACAUUGGGACUGAGAUACGGCCCAGACUCCUACGGGAGGCAGCAGUGGGGAUAUUGCACAAUGGGCGGAAGCCUGAUGCAGCAACGCCGCGUGCGGGAUGACGGCCUUCGGGUUGUAAACCGCUUUCGCCUGUGACGAAGCGUGAGUGACGGUAAUGGGUAAAGAAGCACCGGCUAACUACGUGC